Schistocerca serialis cubense is the source of this 626-nucleotide long non-coding RNA. RefSeq lists it as uncharacterized. The record is from RefSeq and is a predicted model, not a curated record. The transcript has 3 exons. NCBI's taxonomy places the organism in Eukaryota, Metazoa, Arthropoda, Insecta, Orthoptera, Acrididae.
ACGGCAUCCCCGCCUGCCAGUACCGCGGUGUUCUGACCCCCUGCCUCCGCCCGCAGGUUCGAGUGCGACUUCCCGACGACAGGCACGAUCAAGCGGAAGCCGUCGGUGAACCCGAAGCUGCCGCUGACGUCGAUCACGCGACAGCUGAAGGAGGUGGGCGAGACGGUGGCCUGCACCCCGUCGACGCCUUCUCCCUCGACGGCGGCCACCACGCCCACGUCCGUCUUCUCCCCGUCGGUCGACCUGGCAGAUUCUGUGAACGUCAACGUGGGCACUGUCCAGAGAGCAGGUUCGGUGCGGAGGCGGCGGUCGUGCCAGACGCCGUCGACGCCGGACGGCGGGGGCGGAGCAGACGGCGGCAGCAACUCGAGCACCCUCAAACGGCACCACAGCGUCGGGGGCGGGUCGGCCCGGAGCUCCGCCUCCGCCUCCUCGUCCAGCUCGUCCACCCCCGUCAGGGAGCCACCCCCACCGCUGCCCGUGCCGGCAGAGUCGGAGGUGGAGGAGGAGCUGCCGCCGCCCCCGCCGGACAUGUUCGAGAGCACGCUGAGCCUGGACUCGCUGCCGCCCCCGCCGCCGCCGCAGCCGCAGCCGGCCGAGCUGUCGGGCAGCCGGCUGAGCCUGGC